GGGCGGUUAGCUCAGUUGGAUAGAGCGUAGGUCUCCGGAACCUAAGGCCGGGAGUUCGAUUCUCCCACCGCCCG
RNAcentral lists this transfer RNA (74 nucleotides) under Deferrivibrio metallireducens. Its description in RNAcentral is "Deferribacteraceae bacterium V6Fe1 tRNA-Arg". It matches the Rfam family "tRNA". From Rfam's summary of the family: Transfer RNA (tRNA) molecules are approximately 80 nucleotides in length. Their secondary structure includes four short double-helical elements and three loops (D, anti-codon, and T loops). The record is from RNAcentral. Lineage: Bacteria; Pseudomonadati; Deferribacterota; Deferribacteres; Deferribacterales; Deferrivibrionaceae. RNAcentral also lists the same sequence under 1 other name.